UCAGCAACUACAACCUUUUUGAAUUUGUCAACAUUACUAGUUUCUUGUUGUCCUCCAAAUCUUCUUCAAAUUGAUCACAGAGUUGACAUCCAUUGUUUAUGAACAGGUGAUUGCCUCUUUUCUCCAGGGGUGAACACAACAGCAAAAAAAAAAAAAAAAAGGUUUCUUAACAGAUUUAGCCACAUUUGCUAUAUUUUGGCUAGUUAUGGCAGCAGGUGUUUCCAUCAACUGCUUUUGCAUUAUGCCACUUGCAUUUGCCUCAACAUGAAAUUUUUGAAAUACAAUUGCUUGCUUCCUUGAACCAGGUUCUUGACCAGUUAUUGUAACUGCAGCAGAUGAUGCACCUGAUGCAACUAAAGGCAGUUGCUUUCCCUCAGUCAUAUUUAAUUGUUUUGCAAUCUCCAUCACUGGUACUGUUGGUGCAACCAGCUGUUUGUUUGCAGCAACAUCACCAACCUCAACAAAUUUUUCAUGCUCACCCUCUCCAUCCUAUAAAGCUGCAACAACCAGUUCUUUCCCAUCAUUAGCAUCAGUUGGUUUUUCUUUUGUCAGUGCUAGUUGUUGCUGAUUUGCACUCUCUGCUACAACUGAUGGCAGGUGAAAAGAGGGGUAAGAAAACAAAGAAGGCUAAGGAGACGGGGGUUCCCCGGAGACCACCAGAAAACCUUGCGAUUAGAGAUAGAAGCCUGUCGCCACGUCUCCCACCACGCGGUGCUCCAUUGCCUUAUGAUCCCCUCAUGAAUGGCAUUGCAUAUAGUCUUCCACCUCCAUACAGCUUUGGUCGGCCCUAUAUGGCUCCACGCCAGGGCUUUACUGAGGUGCCUCCCCAGAGCCCCUCGAUGAUGUCCACACCAGGUUAUGCUACCCCACAGGGCUUCACUCGGUAUACUCCUGGGUCUCAGCGGGCUUCGUCUAGUGGUACUCCUACGGCCACUCCCAGCCCAACUGCAUCACAUCACUCUUCAUCAUCUACUGAACAGUACUAGAUUACGGGUCCUGACCUUCGAGAAAGUAGUUCUGUGCCUCACACUCCUGCUGCGAAUGACUUACCUGGAGGUGUAAGUGCUCCACAGCUUGAAUCUUAUGACUCAUCAUGGCGACUCAUCAUCGAGCCUGCGGGAUACGGUUGGUUACCGGAAAAAGCUUCAACUCUCCUUACAGAUGAGAUACAAAAACUAUUUAAAGACUCACCUACUUGGGGCCAGAUGUCACCAAAUUGCAAGAGACAGAUCUAUUAUGCAUUUAAGGAAAAAUGUGUCUGGCGCCCGAAACAUGAGAAGCAGCUAACUCAAAACUUCAAGAAGAAAGCUCAGCGCUUACUAUGUGACAUGUUAGGAAGGGUUCAUCAAUCUCACAAGAAGCCUAAGUGGAUCCUUCCUAAAAACUAUAACAAGCUACUUCAUUACUGGGCAACUAAUGAAAGAUUCUUACAACUGAGUGACAAAGGGAAGAAGGCUAGAAAUUCGACGAAGGGUGGCUCCCUACACACUAGUGGGGCUAUGAGUCAAGAGGUCGUGAGGAGGAAGCUGGCAAGUCUACAUUAACUCUACUUGAAGGAUUGUGAAUUUACUUUAUUUUCUUUAUGUCUUAUCAAUUUAUUCUUUUGCAGGAACUAAAACGGGGGACGCCAGUGCCUCAAGAUGAGGCGUUCAAGAUCACUCACGUGAAGAAGAAGACAAACGCUAAUGAUCCAGAUCACUGGUGUGAGGAACGGGCUAAGCAGACCUACAAUCAAUAUCAACAUUCAAAGGCGGAGUUUCUUCGUACUCAGCCACCCAACACACAACUGACAGAAGAACAAAUGGAGGAAAGGUGGCUUGAGAGUGUUGGUGGUCCCACUAGGUUUGACACAGCUUAUGGAAUGCCACAUCGUGCAUUUCGUCAAUACCGGUCGCCCCUGGAAGGCCUACAUUCUUCCAAUACCGAGUCGUUCGAUAGAGUGAGUGCUAUGGCCAUGGAGCAAAAGAUUGCUGAGCUAUCUAGCCAGCUACAGGCCUCAGAGGAAAGGGAGAGGCGGAGGGACGUGCAAUUUGACGGUAUGAGGGCCCAAUUAGACGCAUUACUUGCUUUGAGGGGGAUUCCCUCGUGUCCUGAUGAUGCUCGUAACCCCCAUACUCAAUCUAGUGGUGCGGAUGAUGAUGGGACUCACGUGUCAAACACACAAAGGCAUGUUUGAAUGUUAAUGUUGUGAUGGAUUUGUGGAUUUGCGAGGGGUGAAGUAGUCUAAUGUUGUAGACUAACUUAGUGUAGACUAGUUUAAUGUUUUGUGGAUGUUUACAAAUGUUGAAGUAGUUUAAUGUUGUUUUGAUGUUUGUGAAGGUUGAAGUAGCUUAAUUAAUGUCUCUUGUGAAUGUUUGAUUGACGUUUUUAUUCAACUUUGAAGUAGUUUCGAAUUCAAUUUGAUGUUUUGGUGGUUGUAAUAUAUGUGCUGUAAUAGUAGCUUAUUGUUUUAUGUAUUUAUAGUAGUUUGGUAUA
Lycium barbarum (goji berry) is the source of this 2475-nucleotide long non-coding RNA. RefSeq lists it as uncharacterized. The record is from RefSeq and is a predicted model, not a curated record. NCBI's taxonomy places the organism in Eukaryota, Viridiplantae, Streptophyta, Magnoliopsida, Solanales, Solanaceae. The transcript is spliced from 5 exons.